This 64-nucleotide transfer RNA is filed under the name Cyrtodactylus intermedius. RNAcentral's name for it is "tRNA-Trp". The record is from RNAcentral. Lineage: Eukaryota; Metazoa; Chordata; Lepidosauria; Squamata; Gekkonidae.
GGGUUUAGGUUAAACAAACCAGGGGCCUUCAAAGCCCCAAACAGGACCACAUCCCCUAACCCCU